GUGCCAGCCGCCUCGGUAAUACGGAGGGUGCAAGCGUUGUCCGGAAUCACUGGGCGUAAAGGGUGCGCAGGCGGGGCAGCAAGUCGGAGGUGAAAGCCCGUGGCUCAACCACGGAAGUGCCUUCGAAACUGUUGCUCUUGAGUCCCGGAGAGGUUGCCGGAAUUCGUGGUGUAGCGGUGAAAUGCAUAGAUAUCACGAAGAACACCGGUGGCGAAGGCGGCCAACUGAUCCGAUACUGACGCUGAGACACGAGAGCGUGGGGAGCGAACAGGAUUAGAAACCCUUGUAGUCC
This 292-nucleotide ribosomal RNA is filed under the name uncultured bacterium. RNAcentral describes it as "partial 16S ribosomal RNA". It matches the Rfam family "Bacterial small subunit ribosomal RNA", at positions 505 to 796 of the family's 1533-position model. The record is from RNAcentral.